AUGUUGAUUCCACAAAGCAGAGAUUUAAAGAAGCAAGGACCUUACUAUCAAUGCCUUUUUCACAGGUUUUUUUCUAAGACCCUUGAAUCCUAUUUUGAAGGCACUUUACAAAGAGAACAGAGUAAGAUUCAUGAAAGUCAGGUCAGCUGGGUAGCAAAUUUGAUUAGAGUUUUUAGUUUAAUUAAUUGCAGUUUUUAUUUAUUUGCUAUUUUAUUUUACUUCAUUUAAUUUUAUUUUUUGGUCACUGUGAGUAGUGACUUGAUGUGGGAUCUCAGGUCUCCGACCAGGAAUUAAACGUGGGCCACAGCAGUGAAAGUGACAAGUCAUAACCACUUGACCACCAGGGAACUCCCUAUUUCCAGUGUUUAGAUUCAAUGGUAAAAUGAAAAAAAGGAUGUGUCUUAGACUCAGUGAACUAAGGACAGCUUUAAUUUUUUGCAUAAUCUUUUAUUCAUCUCUCCCAUACCUCUCAUAAAACCAGAGCCCAAAGCAAGAUCUCAUCCAGGCCAUUUCAAAGAGACUCAACACCUUAAAGUCCUUCUAUUACUCUAUUCCCCAAGCCAUCAACCCAGGGCUGCAGAUUAAUUUUUCUAAAGUAAGCACCGAUAUUACCAUCCACCUACUCAAACGCUUCCAAAUUAAUUCUCAUUACCUCCUAAAUCAAGCACCAAACCCCUUGGUUUUGUACUUAAGGCUAUAAUAUGGUCCCAAACUCUGCUAUUAAACUCCUAACGGUCUCUCAAGACGAUAUUAGGCUGAGAUACAACUUUAGGUUAAUAGUUCUUUGCACAGCUAGAAAGAUUCUACGAGAAGAGCUUUUUCUCUAGUUUCUCAAUUCAUGAUUUCUAUUUUUUUUUUAUUUUUUAGAAACCACUCUUGCUCCUUCUAAUCAGGCAUUGCCUUGCCUGGUCUCUGUAGUGACUCUCCCUUGGCCAAGAGCGGCAGAGUAGGUCUGGCCUCUCUUCCACGUUUUGAAAAAGGACCUUCCUCUUUUACACUCGAGCAUGAUUCCCCCCCGCACACAAUGAGGUUCUUUUGUUGCAUGUUUGCUCAUUACAAAAGCAAUACAUUUUCAUUACAGGGAAAUUGGGGGAACAAAAGAUAAACAAUGGAAAAUAGAAAUCACCCAUAAUCCUACCCGUCCAGAGAUAACUGCCAUUGAAUUCUCUUGUAUUUCCUUCUCUUUUUAUGAGAAUAUUACUCUUGAAAAAGUUCUCAAAUGUGGAUUUAAAGUGAUACUGAAAAACCAAUUAUUACAAAUAAAAGAAACAAAAAUGAACGAAACUCCA
RNAcentral lists this long non-coding RNA (1289 nucleotides) under Sus scrofa (pig). RNAcentral's name for it is "lncRNA (ENSSSCG00015045326.1)". Lineage: Eukaryota; Metazoa; Chordata; Mammalia; Artiodactyla; Suidae. The record is from RNAcentral.